RNAcentral lists this ribosomal RNA (208 nucleotides) under uncultured bacterium. RNAcentral describes it as "partial 16S ribosomal RNA". It matches the Rfam family "Bacterial small subunit ribosomal RNA", at positions 568 to 774 of the family's 1533-position model. The record is from RNAcentral.
CGUCUAGGCGGCCGAGUAAGUCGCAUGUGAAAGCUCCUGGCUCAACUGGGAGAGUGCGUGGGAAACUGCUUGGCUCGAGUACCGGAGGGGGGUGUGGAAUUCCCGGUGGAGUGGUGGAAUGCGUUGAGAUCGGGAGGAACACCAGAAGCGAAGGCGGCACCCUGGCCGGUUACUGACGGCUGAAGCGCGAAAGCGUGGGGAGCGAACG